UCGGGUCUCAAAAAUUUUAUU
Molecule: non-coding RNA, 21 nt
Filed under: Caenorhabditis elegans
Lineage: Eukaryota; Metazoa; Nematoda; Chromadorea; Rhabditida; Rhabditidae
Source: RNAcentral